Molecule: small nuclear RNA, 124 nt
Organism: Salvia splendens (bonfire salvia)
Lineage: Eukaryota; Viridiplantae; Streptophyta; Magnoliopsida; Lamiales; Lamiaceae
Product: U5 spliceosomal RNA
Exons: 1
Source: RefSeq, a predicted model, not a curated record
GGCUGCGUGUUGAGCACAUAGCGAACUAUUCUUUCGCCUUUUACUAAAGAAUACUGUGUGCUCAUUGCUAUUCAAGCAGCAUAUGCCAUUUUUUGGAGGAGGGUGUUUUAUUUAUAAUAAAGCC